AUGGUUCAAAUGUCCAUGCUUGGUUUCUUUUUCCCCAUUGCUAUGUUUCCUCCUUCCGCUCCAACGACAGUUUUACUUGCCAUUUCUAUUCCCCUGUCAGCAGCAUUCGUCGUCGUCUCUGGCUCGGGCGCUUCUGAAACUCUGUUUAACUGUACUUCCCAGGAGCUUGUUCAGCAAUGUCAAUACAUUAUGGAAUCAAUGGGGAACAGGAAGAAGACAAGCAGGAAACUCAUGAAAGGAAGCAUGCCAGUGGUACAAGGAAAAGAGGUGGAUGUUGGUGAUCUACCCUCUUACAUGGAAGAUGUUUUUGUCAAAAUUGAGUGUGACACUAAGACACUGAGCAAGCUCAGAAUGGGAUAAUCCGAGGAUUUGAGGAGCCAACACUUCUGAUUGUUUAUAG
Molecule: long non-coding RNA, 400 nt
Filed under: Anas zonorhyncha (Eastern spot-billed duck)
Lineage: Eukaryota; Metazoa; Chordata; Aves; Anseriformes; Anatidae
Description: lncRNA (ENSAZOG00000000597.1)
Source: RNAcentral